This 417-nucleotide ribosomal RNA is filed under the name Babesia capreoli. Its description in RNAcentral is "SSU rRNA". It matches the Rfam family "Eukaryotic small subunit ribosomal RNA", at positions 499 to 966 of the family's 1831-position model. The record is from RNAcentral. Lineage: Eukaryota; Apicomplexa; Aconoidasida; Piroplasmida; Babesiidae.
UGUCUUGUAAUUGGAAUGAUGGUGACCUAAACCCUCACCAGAGUAACAAUUGGAGGGCAAGUCUGGUGCCAGCAGCCGCGGUAAUUCCAGCUCCAAUAGCGUAUAUUAAACUUGUUGCAGUUAAAAAGCUCGUAGUUGAAUUUUUGCGUGGUGUUAAUAUUGACUGAUGUCGAGAUUGCACUUCGCUUUUGGGAUUUUUCCCUUUUUACUUUGAGAAAAUUAGAGUGUUUCAAGCAGACUUUUGUCUUGAAUACUUCAGCAUGGAAUAAUAGAGUAGGACUUUGGUUCUAUUUUGUUGGUUUGUGAACCUUAGUAAUGGUUAAUAGGAACGGUUGGGGGCAUUCGUAUUUAACUGUCAGAGGUGAAAUUCUUAGAUUUGUUAAAGACGAACUACUGCGAAAGCAUUUGCCAAGGACG